RNAcentral lists this ribosomal RNA (492 nucleotides) under uncultured bacterium. RNAcentral's name for it is "partial 16S ribosomal RNA". It matches the Rfam family "Bacterial small subunit ribosomal RNA", at positions 29 to 507 of the family's 1533-position model. The record is from RNAcentral.
AGUGAACGCUGGCGGUAGGCCUAACACAUGCAAGUCGAACGGCAGCACAGUAAGAGCUUGCUCUUACGGGUGGCGAGUGGCGGACGGGUAAGGCAUACAUCGGAAUCUACUUUUUCGUGGGGGAUAACGUAGGGAAACUUACGCUAAUACCGCAUACGACCUACGGGUGAAAGCAGGGGAUCUUCGGACCUUGCGCGAUUGAAUGAGCCGAUGUCGGAUUAGCUAGUUGGCGGGGUAAAGGCCCACCAAGGCGACGCUCCGUAGCUGGUCUGAGAGGAUGAUCAGCCACACUGGAACUGAGACACGGUCCAGACUCCUACGGUAGGCAGCAGUGGGGAAUAUUGGACAAUGGGCGCAAGCCUGAUCCAGCUAUACCGCGUGUGUGAAGAAGGCCUUCGGGUUGUAAAGCCCUUUUGUUGGGAAAGAAAAGCAGCAGGUUAAUACCCCGCUGUUCUGACGGUACCCAAAGAAUAAGCACCGGCUAGCUUCGUG